Vigna unguiculata (cowpea) is the source of this 1715-nucleotide long non-coding RNA. The record is from RefSeq and is a predicted model, not a curated record. Lineage: Eukaryota; Viridiplantae; Streptophyta; Magnoliopsida; Fabales; Fabaceae.
UUUCAGGAAUCAAAACCUUUUCUGCUUCUUCAUGCAUCUUCUAGAUCAUCUCACUAUUUACCUUCAUUGUCACAGAUGUCCCAUGAAAAAGUGCCAACCAAUGGAAGCAUGAAGAAUGACAGAAAAAUCAUUUCAGGAUUAUUAGCAAUCAGGUUUUUAAUAUUCUCAUACAGGAUAGUGUGUGAACCUGAGGCCAAGUCAAAGUACAACAUUUUCCUAAAUCAGGGUAUGCCUUUCUGAUACCAGCCAUUUUUUCUGAAUUCUCAAUUUUUGAAAAAUCAAGAACCCCUCUCCAUGCACAAUAAAGAAAAAAUAAAGGAGAAAAAAAUAGACACGGAAAAUUUAACAUGGUUCGGCGUACAAUGUGUAUGUCUACGUUCAUGACUACACUAGGAAGUAUUUUUAUUUCUAGUGUAUCUCAAGCUUUACAUAGGGUCUCUUAUAUAGUAAAAUAGAGAACCACAUCUCACAAUUCUAAGUGAUGUGAUACUAAAUCAAGCACCAUAAUACUAACAAUUUUCCCACUUGGGGUUUGAUUUACAUUACCACCUAGUGUAGUGUCUUCAUCAUCAAUUUUCUUGAAGGCCAGUUGAGGCAAUGCAAAACCUCAACUUAGUUGUUGUGACAGUCUUGGUCAACAUAUCAGCUAGAUUAUGUACACCAGGAAUGCUUCGAAGGACUCAUCCUUGAGAGAAAGAUUGUCAGGAAUCCAAGUGUGAGUCUAAAUCCCACAUUGGCUAUAAAUGAGAAAGUAGAGCACUAUAUAAGGAUAAAGACCCAUAAAUCCAUUGCCUUAAGGUUUUGGGUUGAGAGUGGUGUCAAUGCCUUAUGUGGUUGGACUCAAGUCUCAUUGGCUCGUGGUUGGGAAUGCUUCUACUGGAGGGGGAGUGUACCAAUGUAUGGUUAGACUCAGUCUCAUUGGUGUUUGUUCUUCCCAAUAAAAUCUCCUAUGUAAUCCUAACAUAGCCUGAAUAUCUUUAAAAGAUAAAAGAUCUUAUUAAUGGACCUUUUCCAGAUUAGAUGUGUUAUUCAUAUUACAACUCGUACAGCAAUUAUUCAUACACAAUUAUGUCCAUCUCUCUCCCUCGUACAAUUUAUUAUAUCUCAUUCUUCUUUCUCUUUUUCUUCUUUUACUUGUGUUAGAUUUUUUUCUUACUGGGACUGGAACAAUUGACCACAUCUGUUGUCUGAGUUGCUCAUAUAAUAAACCUGAGACUGCCUCUAACAUAAAACCUUAAGAUUCAGUGUUUUUGGGUCUUCUUUUUUUCAUAAGUUGUAAAUUUGUGCAUUAAAUUUAUUGUACAAAUAUCGUUUACAUUUCCAUAUUGAGGGAUAAGAAUUUUGAAAUACAAAUGACAGGCAAAAGUCUUAUCCCACUGGGUUGAAAUACAAACCUCGGUUUAAAGUCAGGGAGAUAUUUCUGACGGAUGGAAGAGAGACAACCAUUUGCUGCAACAAACAAAUCCCCUUGUAUCUCUACAACCUCACUAGUUUAUAGAACCUUGGCCUUUACUAUGACAGAACCCUUAUCAUAUAGAAGAUGGAAAGAGAGAAAAAGAUGACCCCACAACAAUAUAUUUGAUGGCAGAGCAUUGUACAGAAGGCCAUGAAGGUCUGCCCAAUGCGCUGCUCUGAAAUUCAAACUCUCAUCCCUUGUCAAUGUAUUGUGAACCUUCCUCUCACUAUCAGUUACACAGUUCUACUCAGGCAAAAAA